This 72-nucleotide transfer RNA is filed under the name Streptomyces sp. NRRL F-4489. It matches the Rfam family "tRNA". Rfam says of the family: Transfer RNA (tRNA) molecules are approximately 80 nucleotides in length. Their secondary structure includes four short double-helical elements and three loops (D, anti-codon, and T loops). Further hydrogen bonds mediate the characteristic L-shaped molecular structure. tRNAs have two regions of fundamental functional importance: the anti-codon, which is responsible for specific mRNA codon recognition, and the 3' end, to which the tRNAs corresponding amino acid is attached (by aminoacyl-tRNA synthetases). tRNAs cope with the degeneracy of the genetic code in two manners: having more than one tRNA (with a specific anti-codon) for a particular amino acid; and 'wobble' base-pairing, i.e. permitting non-standard base-pairing at the 3rd anti-codon position. The record is from Rfam by way of RNAcentral. Lineage: Bacteria; Bacillati; Actinomycetota; Actinomycetes; Kitasatosporales; Streptomycetaceae.
GGCCGUGUGCCCGAGUGGUUCAGGGACUCGCCUGCAAAGCGAGAUACGCGGGUUCGAUCCCCGCCACGGCCU